RNAcentral lists this unclassified non-coding RNA (450 nucleotides) under uncultured Bordetella sp. RNAcentral's name for it is "partial 16S-23S ribosomal RNA intergenic spacer". It matches the Rfam family "Bacterial small subunit ribosomal RNA", at positions 340 to 794 of the family's 1533-position model. The record is from RNAcentral. Lineage: Bacteria; Pseudomonadati; Pseudomonadota; Betaproteobacteria; Burkholderiales; Alcaligenaceae.
UACGGGAGGCAGCAGUGGGGAAUUUUGGACAAUGGGGAAACCUGAUCCAGCCAUCCCGCGUGUGCGAUGAAGGCCUUCGGGUUGUAAACACUUUUGGCAGGAAAACGGCACAGGAUAAUACGAUGCAACUGACGGCACCUGCAGAAUAAGCACCGGCUAACUACGUGCCAGCAGCCGCGGUAAUACGUAGGGUGCAAGCGUUACUCAGGAAUUACUGGGCGUAAAGCGUGCGCAGGCGGUUCGGAAGAAGAUGUGAAAUCCAGAGCUUGCUUUGGAACUGCAUUUUUAACUACCGAGCUGAGUGUGUCAGAGGAGGUGGAAUUCCGCGUGUAGCAGUGAAAUGCACGUAGAUAUGCGGAGGAACACCAUUAGCGAGGCAGCCUCCUGGGAUAACACUGACGCUCAUGCACGAAAGCGUGGGAGCAAACAGGAUUAGAUGCCGCCUUAAGU